GCCGGGAGUAGUGGCGUGCUCCUGUAAUCCAGCUACUUGGAGGCCAGGGUGGGUGGGUGACUCUGAUCGAGUGAUUCGGGUCGGUUUGUUGCGCAUUUUAAGAUAAACGGUCGACGGGACGCCCUGACCAAGCGUUCUCGCCGGCCGACAGGGUAUUUAGGGACUUGUUCCCGAUGCGCGACGGCUGAAAUCCGUUUCCUCGAUCACAGACGAAGAGUCAAACCUGACCUAA
Molecule: non-coding RNA, 232 nt
Filed under: Pediculus humanus corporis (human body louse)
Lineage: Eukaryota; Metazoa; Arthropoda; Insecta; Psocodea; Pediculidae
Source: RNAcentral